GAUGAACGCUGGCGGCGUGCCUAAUACAUGCAAGUCGAGCGAACAGACGAGGAGCUUGCUCCUCUGACGUUAGCGGCGGGCGGGUGAGUAACACGUGGAUAACCUACCUAUAAGACUGGGAUAACUUCGGGAAACCGGAGCUAAUACCGGAUAACAUGUUGAACCGCAUGGUUCAACAGUGAAAGACGGUCUUGCUGUCACUUAUAGAUGGAUCCGCGCCGCAUUAGCUAGUUGGUAAGGUAACGGCUUACCAAGGCAACGAUGCGUAGCCGACCUGAGAGGGUGAUCGGCCACACUGGAACUGAGACACGGUCCAGACUCCUACGGGAGGCAGCAGUAGGGAAUCUUCCGCAAUGGGCGAAAGCCUGACGGAGCAACGCCGCGUGAGUGAAGAAGGUCUUCGGAUCGUAAAACUCUGUUAUUAGGGAAGAACAAAUGUGUAAGUAACUAUGCACGUCUUGACGGUACCUAAUCAGAAAGCCACGGCUAACUACGUG
Molecule: ribosomal RNA, 497 nt
Filed under: uncultured bacterium
Lineage: Bacteria
Description: partial 16S ribosomal RNA
Rfam family: Bacterial small subunit ribosomal RNA
Source: RNAcentral